AAGUAAAAAUUAAUAUGAAACUGACUGAAUAGGUAGGGUAAUUUUUCAGUGACUGCACAUGGCCCUACAUAUUCAGUCAGUUUCAUAUUAGUUUAUUUCAUAUUGAUAAGU
Chlorocebus sabaeus (green monkey) is the source of this 111-nucleotide microRNA precursor. The record is from Ensembl. NCBI's taxonomy places the organism in Eukaryota, Metazoa, Chordata, Mammalia, Primates, Cercopithecidae.